This 115-nucleotide ribosomal RNA is filed under the name Pteropus alecto (black flying fox). The record is from RNAcentral. Lineage: Eukaryota; Metazoa; Chordata; Mammalia; Chiroptera; Pteropodidae.
GACAGACACUAAACUACAUUUAGAAAGCUCAGCACGUCUGAUCUCAGAAGCUAAGCAGGGCUGGGCCUGGUUAGUACUUGGAUAGGAAACCACCUAGGAAGACCAAGUGCUGUUU